ACAGGCGGGGACGGGCCGCGGAGGGGCCGCGGUUGCCGUGGCAACGGACGCCACCGCGCGACCCGGUUCCAGAAGGUUCUGGGGGCGGCGGAGCGGGGUCGCUCCCCUCCGCCCCGCUGGGUACUGGCCGGGGCCGGUGCCCGGCGGCGAGGAGAAGCGGCCUCCUCCCCGAGCCCCCCCGGCAUCCAUUUGCCCUUCGCAAGGGUGAGCCCCGCGAAGGCCUCGCCUUCCGGAUUAAAAUUUCUGCGUUUUCGGGGCAGGAUUCAGCGCUCGGCGAAGUGAAUGGUGACGUUGGAGGUGCUGUCCGGCCUCAGCCAGGAUUGCUGUUGCAUUUGCUGUGAGAUUGCCCCUCAGAUCCCUUGUAUACCGCGGCAGCGCAGCAGUUAAGGUGACAACAACAGAAGUGCUGUCAGCAGACUGUGAAGAAUCAGCCAUUCUGCUUUAAAUAUUACGAACUAUAACAUGAAAAUACAGAAGUUGCCAGCAACCAGUGUGAACACCUACAGCUUCCAAAGAAAGGUGACAGUCCUUCCCAGCAACUGGCUGUUAGCAAUGCUCAUUCACUGUGAUUUUGCCUUCUGUUUUUAGACUGCCGCUGAGGUUUACUGUUACAACUGCUUUGGGAUUAGAGAGACAUCUAGUGGGAAUGAGAUUUUUACAUUGGCAGCUCGACAACCACAAGAUGACAACUUUGGAAACUACCGACUGUUCAAAAUGGAAAAAUGCCCAUAUAUGGAGCUUGUGGACAGCACACAUAUUUGGAUAGCUAUGCAUUCUAUUAACCCAUUUAAAAUGUGCCCAAGUCUUGUAAAAUAAUUUUAAUCAGUAUGUUUUUCAAGAUUCUCCUUAUUCUUGCAUAGCUGGGUUUAGAACUAAGUUUAUUUCUGGUGUUGCUGCCUACUUACCUAUUUCAUUUCCAGGACUCAAAUUUAUCUGCUUACCUUUAACAGGAAAAUAAAUAAUUUAUUUUAAUCAUUCAUAAGACACUGUUCAAGUAAAGGCAAAAUAAGGAAAGAGAGAAUUUACACAACUUCAAUCAAGAGUGGUCUAAAACUGUAGUCUAAAAUAAAAAUUAACAACAAUGACCCUGUACAGACUGGCCUUAUACACACUUUGUUCAACUAUACAGGAGCAAACUCAGUGGAACAGCUUCUCUUUUUGCUAAAAGUUUAAGCUGUAAAAUCAUAACAACAGAAGGUUCUCCAAAUGGCAAGCGCUACCGAACACUGAUUCAGCACCCUUAAGAUAGGGCUCAACAUCAGCACUGAGCUUCAAUGCAAAUGAAUCUUGCAAAAGACCAUUAACAUUGCAACGAUUGGUGGUUUGACUAUUCAGCUUAUCCAUACAUAACAAGGGAUCCAGCACAAUUAGAUUAAAUCUCUUGCAACACACAACAUUUGGCCUUGCUAAGAUUGUCAGAGUCUGCUCCACAUGACCUCUACCUCAAUUACACAGACUUAAGAAUCACUGACCUGGUUAGGGAAGCAUCUUGAAAAAUCUAUAUUGUAUGAAUUUGCAGGUUUACGUUGUAUAACAAGAAGGAUGGUAUAUUUUCUAAUUUGUAACAGAUGGUAUCUAGUAUUAAACAAUGUACCCAAUCCUGACCAUUCCUUCUUCUCCCCAUGCCAGUAUCAUAAACUUCAUGUGUAAUGAAUGUUCGAAGUAAAAGUUGGGAUAGGAUGAUAGAAUAGAAACCCUAAAACAGAAAAAGUGGCUUCUUAAAUGAAUUAUUUCCACAUAGACACUGGGGAAAUAAACAAGUAUUUCAUUAAAACUACAGAAUUCUGAUUAAUUCUUUUACUGGUUAUUCUGAUUGCUAAUCUACAAAUGGAACAAUAAAAAUCAGUAUGACAAUGAUUUGCUCUGUGUCUCAAAUUAUGUUUGGAAUAUUUCAUCACAGGACUUUGUAUUUAACUUUUCUGUUUAUUUCAGAUGAUCUAAAUGCUAUUUCCAUUUUCUGUUCAGAUCUUGCUCACAAUUCUCCUCCAGCAUGGACUUGCUGGACAAAUUUUUUUAUGGCUGGAUAAGCAAUAGUCAUGUGACUGUUCCAGGAACAAAGCUUCAGCAGAAAUAUCAGCAGAAGUAGUUUUUUUAAAAAACGGAAAGAAAAAAGAUUUUUCACUCAUGUUCAUUUGGCUUUUAGCCAAAAGGCUGGUGAACCUCGUCUUUUGUAAUUUUUCUCUUUUGGAUUAUGCAAGGGGUGUGAUCCUUUUUGAGCCAAUGAGAAGCUCAUUAGUAAACAGUCUUCAGAUCACAGAUUAUUUGAUAAGCAACACAGCAAAAAUAUUGUUAGGUCAUAUGAACCUGCCUUCAUUCAGUGGACUGUUUUUUUUCUAAAGAUAAAGUAAACACACUUACAUUUGGAUGUGCUAAAGAAUUAUCAUCUUGAUAUUUGAUAGCAGUAGGAAUGUUGGCAGUUGUUGUUUCUUUUUCAGUAGCAGGUGCAUCAACAGUUCCCACUCCUACAGUUACAGGUUCGUAUUUUAGUUCAGUAGGUUCUGUUGUCUAAAAAGAAAGAAAUACAUCUGGGUAUGACUGUGCAUUACCAAGGCUGCUCCUCAGACUCCAAGGCAUGGCAGUACCUUAACUCGGUGUUAGCCGCCUUCGCGUUGCAGCAUGUGCCCACUAAAGGCUCCUCGUGCAAGUACGCUGCCGAAUGCUCAGCAGGAGCUGCCUGGACACAGACUGAUGGCCAGGCUAAACGUACAAAGUGAAGCAGAAGGCAUUGCCCAAAGGAGCAAACAGAGCAAUCUGCAACCUUGCAAAACUGUAGCUUUGGUUUUUGGAUCGCUUUCUUAAGAAGCUGCAUGAACUUCUUGAAGACUUCUGAAAAGACAGUACUGUGUAUGUUCUUGGGGAAACAUACAGGGAUAAUUUAAAACAUUUCACUGUCAAAUGGAAAAAACAAACCAAAGCUUUGUGUGCAUUCUUCCACAGACAAGCGUCUGGGUUCUCUUAGAAGACUUAGUGGCCAAAUUACAAGUAAAAUUUUGAAACCUGGAUGUCUGAAGUUAGUUUUGUGGAAAGCUAUCUGAAAACCAUGCCAUUUAUUUCAGUGAGUAAAUAUGGCUUUAAGUCUGGCUUCAGUUAAGUAUAAUUAGAAAUACUGAUCUCUACUUUUAAUUACAAUAUAAAUGUAUGAUUACCUUUGCAUUUUAAUUGUUCUGCUUUCCCUUAAAAACACUUCAUGAUUUUAUAUGAUUUUAAAAGAAUCUUAAACAAUCUGAAUUGCCAAACAUGGUUAGAACAUACAGUCAAAGCAGUUGAUUUCAUUGAUAUUUCUCACACAUCUAAACAUGUUCUUCCCUGACCACCACAUCAAGCAUUUCGGAGAGUCUGUCUGAACACUGACUGCAACAGUGGGAUUUAGAAUUGUCGACAUUGAUGCUUUCAUCAGUGGCAACUGUGCUAAUAGUGCAUCUUCCACCUGACUUUGAGAGCAUUAUGCACAAAGAAAGGAUAUUGAAAACUUACCUUUUUGACUUCUUUACUUGAUCUGAAUGUCUGUGGAACAAAGGAGUCACUUUCAAUAGCUUCAAUUUCUUUUACUCGUUUGACUUGCUCUACUAGGGUGGCUUGGUCUACAAAAAGAAGAUGCAACGUCAGUAUACAUUAGCGUAAGCCUAUGAUAAAUGCUAUGUCUAGGCAAUACCUUGAAUAUAUUUUACAACCUAGGAACCAUAUAGCAAAAAAAAAAAAAAAAAAAAAAAAAAAAAAUUAAUGCAAGCUAAAAUACUCUGUUACAGAGAAAAACUCUCUUUUUUAAUAAAAAUAAAAACAGUGAAUUGGCUGUUACGGCUCAAUAUGUGAUAUAAUUCAAGAUGCUAACUGAAGAAUUUGCUAGCAAAGUCCUUACAGGAUAACUGUGCUAGAUUUAUAGCAGGAGAAUUUCCUGGAAAAGUUAAGGAUUCUCAGAUAGUACAGACAAUUUAGUGGAGUAAAAUUUGUAAGUAUUAGUAAAAACACUUCUGCUUGUACGAAGGUGAAUUUGGCUUCAGUGGUUGAUGUCAGAGGGACGUGCCAUCAUCUGUAGUCUUCCUAAAACAAGCUAAGUGAUUAGUUCUGUAUUAACAGUUACAUCAUGAAAUGAAUUUGACAAAAAGCUUAGAAUUUUCUGAAUUGUAUUUUUUGUAUUAUAUUUGGUAAUAAAACAUCCAUAAGAUAUA
Long non-coding RNA from Dromaius novaehollandiae (emu), 4166 nucleotides. RefSeq lists it as uncharacterized. Lineage: Eukaryota; Metazoa; Chordata; Aves; Casuariiformes; Dromaiidae. The transcript is spliced from 6 exons. The record is from RefSeq and is a predicted model, not a curated record.